This 400-nucleotide long non-coding RNA is filed under the name Mytilus galloprovincialis (Mediterranean mussel). The record is from RNAcentral. Lineage: Eukaryota; Metazoa; Mollusca; Bivalvia; Mytilida; Mytilidae.
AUAUAAAAAAGAAGAUGUGGUAUGAUUGCCAAUGAGACAGCUAUCCACAAAAGACCAAAAUGACACAAACAUUAACAACUAUAGGUCACCGUACGGUCUUCAACAAUGAGCAAAGCCCAUACAGCAUAGUCAGCUAUAAAAGGCCCCGCUAAGACAAUGUAAAACAAUUCAAACGAGAAAACUAACGGCCUUAUUUAUGUAAAAAAAUGAACGAAAAACAAAUAUGUAACACAUAAACAAACGACAACCACUGAAUUACAGGCUCCUGACUUGGGACAGGCACAUACAUAAAUAAUGUGGCGGGGUUAAACAUGUUAGCGGGAUCCCAACCCUCCCCCUAACCUGGGACAGUGGUAUAACAGUACAACAUAAGAACGAACUAUAAAAAUCAGUUGAAAAA